Molecule: ribosomal RNA, 497 nt
Filed under: uncultured bacterium
Lineage: Bacteria
Description: partial 16S ribosomal RNA
Rfam family: Bacterial small subunit ribosomal RNA
Source: RNAcentral
GACGAACGCUGGCGGCGUGCCUAAUACAUGCAAGUCGAGCGAUGAAGAUUGGUGCUUGCACCAAUUUGAAGAGCAGCGAACGGGUGAGUAACGCGUGGGGAAUCUGCCUUUGAGCGGGGGACAACAUUUGGAAACGAAUGCUAAUACCGCAUAACAACUUUAAACAUAAGUUUUAAGUUUGAAAGAUGCAAUUGCAUCACUCAAAGAUGAUCCCGCGUUGUAUUAGCUAGUUGGUGAGGUAAAGGCUCACAAAGGCGAUGAUACAUAGCCGACCUGAGAGGUGGAGCGGCCACAUUGGGACGGAGACACGCCCCAAACUCCUACGGGAGGCAGCAGUAGGGAAUCUUCGGCAAGGGACGAAAGUCGGACCGAGCAACGCGGCGUGAGGGAAGAGGGUUUUCGGAUCGUAAAACUCUGUUGGUAGGGAAGAACGUUGGUGAGAGUGGAAAGCUCAUCAAGUGACGGUAACUACCCAGAAAGGGACGGCUAACUACGUG